ACAAUUUUAAGGUUUUACCUUGUGUUGUCUACGUGAUCGGUUUGUCGAUCGGUUGAAACCCUGGAAGCGUCACUAUUGUAAAAGUGAAGUUGCAGUGAAAAUGCGAUUGAACUAGCAAAAAGUAACAGCUUGUCAGUAUUAUCAAU
Molecule: unclassified non-coding RNA, 146 nt
Filed under: uncultured soil eukaryote
Lineage: Eukaryota
Description: sequence contains ITS2
Source: RNAcentral